RNAcentral lists this ribosomal RNA (530 nucleotides) under uncultured bacterium. RNAcentral's name for it is "bacterial SSU rRNA". It matches the Rfam family "Bacterial small subunit ribosomal RNA", at positions 28 to 526 of the family's 1533-position model. The record is from RNAcentral.
GACGAACGCUGGCGGCGUGCCUAAUACAUGCAAGUCGAACGAGAAUUUCUUACACCGAGUGCUUGCACUCACCGUAAGAAAUUCGAGUGGCGGACGGGUGAGUAACACGUGGGUAACCUGCCCAAAAGAAGGGGAUAACAUUUGGAAACAAAUGCUAAUACCGUAUAACCAUGAUGACCGCAUGGUCAUUAUGUAAAAGGUGGUUUUGCUAUCGCUUUUGGAUGGACCCGCGGCGUAUUAACUAGUUGGUAGGGUAACGGCCUACCAAGGUGAUGAUACGUAGCCGAGUUGAGAGACUGAUCGGCCACAAUGGGACUGAGACACGGCCCAUACUCCUACGGGAGGCAGCAGUAGGGAAUCUUCCACAAUGGGCGCAAGCCUGAUGGAGCAACGCCGCGUGAAUGAAGAAGGUCUUCGGAUCGUAAAAUUCUGUUGUUAGAGAAGAAUAUGAGUAAUAGUAACUGAUUAUUCACUGACGGUAUCUAACCAGCAAGUCACGGCUAACUACGUGCCAGCCGCCGCCGUAACAC